Coturnix japonica (Japanese quail) is the source of this 3770-nucleotide non-coding RNA. The record is from RefSeq and is a predicted model, not a curated record. NCBI's taxonomy places the organism in Eukaryota, Metazoa, Chordata, Aves, Galliformes, Phasianidae.
GGGAGCUUGUGCUGAGGCAUCAGAUGUGACUCUUCCUUUCAGAAAGGAAUUUGACAGUUGCAGCUGUGCAGUCUUGUCUCUGCAGUGUGUCACAGGACCUGAUAGGAGAGCCCUUUAUUACUGAAAUUCAGUAAGACUUGCUUAUUAGCUUGGAAAGGUCAGCUGCGGAAGCACUACAGCGUCACCCAGAAUAUCCUGACAGAAGGGGAGAAGCCCUUGGCCAGUGAGACAGCAAGAUGCAAUUUACUGCUGGAACGUCUGCAAGAGGUUGCUUUCGUACCUGAAAGGAUUUCUUCCUCAAUACACAUACAAACAAAUUAUGGGAAGGUCACUGUUUUCAUGAACAGUUUGCCUGUUGCAGUCCGAGAGAUUUAAAGCUGUGUGGCUCACAGGGGAACAAAACUAUAGCUGCUCAACUUUGAUUGAGAUGAUGAGUGACAAGACAGUGUUUCAGUGCUGCUGGAUACGUUUUGAUUUAUUCCAUUCUUAUGAGUUGGGACCCUCCUAAGUUACUGAGAAAUCCAUACUUUACAGGAAGAUUGAAGAAGAACCAAAAGUCCUGCCCCCACCUGUGGGAAUGCAAGAAGAACUGUAUGGAGCAGCAGCUGUGGAGUAAGAUAAACAGCAUGAGAAGCAAGGACACCACUAGAAGAAGAAGGAACAGCUUGCAGCUCUAAUUGGGCAACUGCUGGCUCAUACGCCUGAGGGAUUUCUGCUAAGGCUUUAAAAGCAAGGGCUAUAUGAGUGCUAUUUCAGAGUUAAACACCUGGUACCUGUAAGGCACAAUGUGGAAAAGCAGCUAAAGACAGCAUCUGGUAAAAUAUGCUCUAUAGCAAAGCAUACGAGCACAGUGUGAUGUUGAGAAAAUUGAAUUCAUUUUGAAAGCAUGAUGGUGAUCUUUCUUGAACUCUUAAGCUCCAAAUGACUCCUGAAUCUGACUAUGUAUGUUCAGCAUAAAAACUCUCAGCUUAAGAUCACUUUUGUCAGUGUUUCAUGGCACUUGGGGGCAGCACCACAAAUGAGGAACUGGAGAACACAACUCAGCUCAUUGAGGUAAUUGCUUCAUUCCUUCUGAAAUCAAAGCAUUAUGACAAACUUUGAAACUCUCUGGCCUGUAAAGAAGCAGCAGACAGGUAACAUUUGUGGUUCAGAUCUUUCAAAUUAAUAUUAACUAAGUAAACAUUCUUCAGCAAUGAAUUUGGUUAGUUGUUGCUCUUCAAAAAGAGCUGUUUCCUGUUCUGUUUGCUUAGACUACCCUGAAAAUAAGGUGUACUUAACUGGCAUUGCAUGGGUGAAGUACUAUAUGCAGAAAUGUUAAACAUUAAGGAAGUGCCAUUUAUGUCACUAUUUACAAUUAGGCAAAGGAGAAGCUGUUCCAGACAUUAUAUUUAAAUACAAGUUUAUUUUUUCAACCCCAACAAAAAUUAUUUUCUGUAUAUAAUCUCAUAAACUUAUAUGGAGUUACAACAGGGAUCAGCCAAACCAUUUCUUAAGAAGAAAGGCUUUUUUUCCUCCAGCACUGAUGCUGUCAGGCAGCCAUGUGGGUACUGGUCUUACAUCCAUGUAUCGGUACCAAGGAGUCAUUAUUACGAGAACACCCUCUGAAAAUGCAUCAUUCAGCAGUUACAUCAAUUUAAUCAAUUUACAUCACAUUCUGUGUUUUACUACUGAGACUUCUAACUGUUCAGUUUUUAAUGUAAUCAUAAAUGCUAGAUUUGCAUAUUGCUGUGACUAAUUUUUACUACUGCAGCUGUGACAAAUGAAACUAUGCAGCCUUAUCUGCACAUUUAAACUACAUUUUAGUAGCUAGUGGACUCUGGUUGUUUUCCCUUUUGUUUGAACUAGGCUGGUUGCACGAAUGUAGUGGAGUCCAGAUUCCAAGCUCAGCUUUUUAAAUGUGUGUGAGAUCCACAGUAUGUGGAGAUACACUGUCCUGUUAAUUAACAUAUUUAAAUUAGAGCAAUUAAACUUGGCAAGAGGAAAUGCAGCAUCAUACAGAGAAUGUAAUUGGUUGGGAAAGCAAAUAACAGAAAAAAACAGCAUAAUAAAAAAUCAGAAACAAUGUAUAGAUUUAAGCCUGCCAAUAGUAUUUUGCAGGCUUAAAUCAAACUGCAUCACAACAGAUUACAAAAACUAAUCAUUAAUAAUAAGUUUUAGAAAACACUACCUCACAGAAAAAGAUAUUCAAGCCCUGACUGAAACAUGAAGAAGCACCUGAAGAUGGGAUAAUUGAAAAUUAAUUUCACUAUAGCAAAUGGUGAUAAAACUAAGAAAAUUGAAUCAGGCUUGGGAUAGAAUGAACUAUGUAGUCUGGAAAGAUCUUUAGAGAUCUAUCAGAAAGUAAACACGUAUCUUUUUUGUGUCUGUAGCAGCCAGGAAAUCUUUCUGUCAUACCAGAAAAAUUGGUGGCAGAAACACUCGGUUUGGGUAUUUAUUUUUUUAAGACACAGGAAAGCAUUGAACAAUUAAUGAAAAACAAUAAUAAAAAGGGGGAGAGUUGCAAAAAAGUCUUAAUUGCAGCAAAAUGCAGAUUUUAUAGCUGAAAAUAGUUUGGCUUGGUUUUGGCAGCAGCUCCCAGUAAUGAUAUAUUUGCAUUGGUCUUUAGAUAACUGGGAUUACCUAAUGAGAGCUAGUCUUAUGCUAUGCUAUUGAUAUUGAAAAGCAUCACGUCUCUGAGUACAGCUGCUGUCCUGAGUAACAAGUUGAUAUGACAACUCUUUUAGAAAUAAAUUGGAUGCCUUUUUGAGAGCUGACAGUUGUGGAAGCUGAAGGCAGUAAGCUUCAGGAGUACAGGCUGGUGAGGCAGGUGAUUCACACGUUGACAUCUGCUGAGUGGUGAGGAAUUGAAGUUUUACUUUAUUUAGUAUAUUUGUGUAUAUUUAGUAUAUAUAAAUGUAUAUAGAUAUAUAUGUAUUUAUAUAUAAUAUAAUUAUAUUUAUGUUUAUAUAUACAUACAUUUAAAUAUGUAAAUGAAAAUAGUUGUAUCUGAUGUUUGCGCUGGAAAGUAUGAAUUGCUGUGGGAACCUGGUAAAUAACCUCUCUAAGGAAAAACGACUAUUAGAACUAAGAAUGUGCAACUACUGUGACUUCGGUGAAUUUAGGAAACCUACAGAAUUAAUUGCCACAGGCAUCAGUGUUCAGUGACUGACUAGAUUUUAUUUUUAGUGGGCUGUGUUACUUUUAAGAACACUGAGAAAAACAAACUGUUACAGGCACAAUGAGAUCAUCAUUUGGACAAAACAAAUGGGAGCCUUAACAAAGGGAGCGCAAGAGGGCUCUAGAAGUAGCUCCCCUUUAUGGUGCUACAGUGAGCCUCUGGCUCUGAAGAGAGUUCUUUUCUGGGAAACAGCAAGCAUUGAUCACUGUUGGAGGCAGCUUGCUGGACAAGGACAAAGCUGGACUAAGAGUGCGGGAAGGAAGUUCAUACUGCAUAGAAACUGAACUGAAGAUCAUGCUAGAAGAAGUGCUACGCUGCAAAAAGCAACCCUGUGUGCAGACAUGCCUUUCUCUGGAGGAAGGAACGGGCCCAAGAUGGGGGGAAUAUAUUUGGAGGUCUUUUUAGAGGUUUUGUGGGAUGGAUAUAAAAUCUGCUAAAAUUAGUUUGUCUUAAUACUUUUUGCUGUCUUUUGGUUUGUGUUCCAUGUUUGUUGCUGUGUACAGAAAAAAAGAUACAGGAUGCUAUGAACUGUGCUUUUUCUAUUAAUAAAGAAGGGGGAGAUGUGGGGGUAGAUGUAACUGUGAGCAAGUCACCAAAGAGCUUAUAGAUUCUU